Molecule: ribosomal RNA, 213 nt
Filed under: uncultured bacterium
Lineage: Bacteria
Description: partial 16S ribosomal RNA
Rfam family: Bacterial small subunit ribosomal RNA
Source: RNAcentral
CUCAGUUCAGAUUGCAGGCUGCAACCCGCCUGCAUGAAGUCGGAAUUGCUAGUAAUCGCGGAUCAGCAUGCUGCGGUGAAUACGUUCCCGGGCCUUGUACACACCGCCCGUCACACCAUGGGAGCCGGUAAUACCCGAAGUCAGUAGUCCAACCUCGUGAGGACGCUGCCGAAGGUAGGAUUGGCGACUGGGGUGAAGUCGUAACAAGGUAAC